Molecule: ribosomal RNA, 459 nt
Filed under: uncultured bacterium
Lineage: Bacteria
Description: partial 16S ribosomal RNA
Rfam family: Bacterial small subunit ribosomal RNA
Source: RNAcentral
GAUGAACGCUGGCGGCGUGCCUAAUACAUGCAAGUCGAACGGAAAGGCCUCUUCGGAGGUACUCGAGUGGCGGACGGCUGAGUAACGCGUAGGAAUGUACCCCAAAGUGAGGAAUAACCUCGAGAAAUCGAGGCUAAUACCGCAUGUGCUCUAAGGAGUAAAGCUUCGGCGCUUUGGGAACAGCCUGCGUAAGAUUAGCUUGUUGGUGAGGUAAUGGCUCACCAAGGCGACGAUCUUUAGCUGGUCUGAGAGGAUGAUCAGCCAGACUGGGACUGAGACACGGCCCAGACUCCUACGGGAGGCAGCAGUAGGGAAUUUUCCACAAUGGACGAAAGUCUGAUGGAGCAACGCCGCGUGCAGGAUGAAUGCCUUUGGGUUGUAAACUGCUUUUACUAGUGACGAAUAUGACGGUAACUAGAGAAUAAGGAUCGGCUAACUACGUGCCAGCCGCCGCCGUAA